CACGUAGGCGGUCAAGCAAGUUGGUGGUGAAAGCCCUCGGCUCAACCGGGGAAUUGCCCCCAAAACUGCUCGACUUGAGUCCCGGAGAGGGUGGCGGAAUUCCCAGUGUAGCGGUGAAAUGCGUAGAUAUUGGGAGGAACACCAGUGGCGAAGGCGGCCACCUGGACGGGUACUGACGCUGAGGUGCGAAAGCGUGGGGAGCAAACA
RNAcentral lists this ribosomal RNA (207 nucleotides) under uncultured bacterium. RNAcentral's name for it is "partial 16S ribosomal RNA". It matches the Rfam family "Bacterial small subunit ribosomal RNA", at positions 568 to 774 of the family's 1533-position model. The record is from RNAcentral.